Molecule: long non-coding RNA, 502 nt
Filed under: Oryctolagus cuniculus (rabbit)
Lineage: Eukaryota; Metazoa; Chordata; Mammalia; Lagomorpha; Leporidae
Description: lncRNA (ENSOCUG00000029763.1)
Source: RNAcentral
AUGGGUCAAGUGAACAGGAAUCAUCAGAAGCUCUGUGUCAUCUUGAAGACUAUAAAUAGGGCGGCGCAGUGGGCCAGGGCCAGACCGCUGGACAGAGCCACGAUGGAAGAGGCAAGCUCCCAACAACAAGCUGCAAGCACCAAAGAGGACAGGGAGAGGGAGGCCCCCUCAGCCCACGUCCAGGUGCCUCGACAAGGGCCCAAAGGCAGGCAGCAGCGUAAAGGACCUGUGCGAGGGAGAAAAAUAGUCCGUCCCAAACUGCGCCGUCCUACCGUGAAACCGAAGAAAGGGAGGGGGUCAAAGCCCGUCCAAAUUUAUUACUAUCUGAACACGAAAAUCAGUCCAAAUGUGCCAGCCAAUGGCAUGAAGGACCGGGAGGCCCCCAGCACCUCGUGCGGGACCCCGGCUGCCUUGAACGCGGCCGUGAAGCCCGAGACUUCUGAAUCACCUAAGAACUCACCCGAGGCUCAGCCGCUGAGCAAUGCUCAGUAAGCAGAUGUUG